RNAcentral lists this ribosomal RNA (288 nucleotides) under Triticum aestivum (bread wheat). RNAcentral's name for it is "partial small subunit ribosomal RNA". Lineage: Eukaryota; Viridiplantae; Streptophyta; Magnoliopsida; Poales; Poaceae. The record is from RNAcentral.
GAAGUUGCCGCUUGGGAGGCCCUCCUUCAGGACAUCGCCGUCCUCCCUAUGGACGGCGCCGUCACCCCGGACGCCAUCUCUUGGCGUCUGGAACCUUCCGGCUGCUUCUCCACAAAAUCCCUCUACGCGGCCAUCGCCCCCUCGACGGCCCCCGAGCCCUUUAGUUUGAUUUGGGACAUCCGCCUGCCCCUGAAGAUCAGGAUCUUCCUGUGGCAAUGGAUCCGAGGCCGCCUCCCGUCCGGCGUGGAGGUCCUUAAGCGCUAUGGACCCGGGGAUGGGAUGUGCCCC